AUUGAACGCUGGCGGCAUGCUUUACACAUGCAAGUCGAACGGCAGCGCGGGCUUCGGCCUGGCGGCGAGUGGCGAACGGGUGAGUAAUGCAUCGGAACGUGCCCAGUAGUGGGGGAUAGCCCGGCGAAAGCCGGAUUAAUACCGCAUACGACCUGAGGGUGAAAGCGGGGGACCGAAAGGCCUCGCGCUAUUGGAGCGGCCGAUGUCGGAUUAGCUAGUUGGUGGGGUAAAGGCUUACCAAGGCGACGAUCCGUAGCUGGUCUGAGAGGACGACCAGCCACACUGGGACUGAGACACGGCCCAGACUCCUACGGGAGGCAGCAGUGGGGAAUUUUUGACAAUGGGGGGAACCCUGAUCCAGCAAUGCCGCGUGCGGGGAGGAGGCCUUCGGGGUGGAAACCGCUUUUGUUCGGGAAGAAAUCCUCUGGGCUAAUACCCCGGGGGGAUGACGGUACCGGAAGAAUAAGCACCGGCUAACUACGUG
RNAcentral lists this ribosomal RNA (484 nucleotides) under uncultured bacterium. RNAcentral describes it as "partial 16S ribosomal RNA". It matches the Rfam family "Bacterial small subunit ribosomal RNA", at positions 28 to 507 of the family's 1533-position model. The record is from RNAcentral.